RNAcentral lists this ribosomal RNA (443 nucleotides) under uncultured bacterium. RNAcentral describes it as "partial 16S ribosomal RNA". It matches the Rfam family "Bacterial small subunit ribosomal RNA", at positions 338 to 795 of the family's 1533-position model. The record is from RNAcentral.
CCUACGGGAGGCAGCAGUGGGGGAUAUUGGGCAAUGGGCGCAAGCCUGACCCAGCAACGCCGCGUGAAGGAAGAAGGCUUUCGGGUCGUAAACUUCUUUUCUCAGGGACGAAGCAAGUGACGGUACCUGAGGUAUAAGCCACGGCUAACUACGUGCCAGCAGCCGCGGUAAUACGUAGGUGGCAAGCGUUAUCCGGAUUUACUGGGUGUAAAGGGCGUGUAGGCGGGAAAGCAAGUCAGAUGUGAAAACCAUGGGCUCAACCUGUGGCCUGCAUUUGAAACUGUUUUUCUUGAGUACUGGAGAGGCAGACGGAAUUCCUGGUGUAGCGGUGAAAUGCGUAGAUAUUAGGAGGAACACCAGUGGCGAAGGCGGUCUGCUGGACAGCAACUGACGCUGAGGCGCGAAAGCGUGGGGAGCAAACAGGAUUAGAUACCCCUGUAGUC